RNAcentral lists this ribosomal RNA (253 nucleotides) under uncultured prokaryote. Its description in RNAcentral is "partial 16S ribosomal RNA". It matches the Rfam family "Bacterial small subunit ribosomal RNA", at positions 524 to 776 of the family's 1533-position model. The record is from RNAcentral.
UACAGAGGGGGCAAGCGUUGUUCGGAAUUACUGGGCGUAAAGGGCGCGUAGGCGGCCUGCUAAGUCGAACGUGAAAUCCCCGGGCUCAACCCGGGAACUGCGUCCGAUACUGGUAGGCUUGAAUCCGGGAGAGGGAUGCGGAAUUCCAGGUGUAGCGGUGAAAUGCGUAGAUAUCUGGAGGAACACCGGUGGCGAAGGCGGCAUCCUGGACCGGCAUUGACGCUGAGGCGCGAAAGCCAGGGGAGCGAACGGG